RNAcentral lists this ribosomal RNA (458 nucleotides) under uncultured bacterium. RNAcentral's name for it is "partial 16S ribosomal RNA". It matches the Rfam family "Bacterial small subunit ribosomal RNA", at positions 338 to 795 of the family's 1533-position model. The record is from RNAcentral.
CCUACGGGUGGCAGCAGUGAGGAAUAUUGGUCAAUGGCCGCAGGGCUGAACCAGCCAAGUCGCGUGAGGGAUGACGGUCCUAUGGAUUGUAAACCUCUUUUGUCGGGGAGCAAAGCGAACCACGUGUGGUUCAUUGAGAGUACCCGAAGAAAAAGCAUCGGCUAACUCCGUGCCAGCAGCCGCGGUAAUACGGAGGAUGCGAGCGUUAUCCGGAUUUAUUGGGGUUAAAGGGUGCGCAGGCGGAGGUGCAAGUCAGCGGUCAAAUUGCGGGGCUCAACCCCGUACUGCCGUUGAAACUGCAUCCCUUGAGUGCGCGAGAAGUAUGCGGAAUGCGUGGUGUAGCGGUGAAAUGCAUAGAUAUCACGCAGAACUCCGAUUGCGAAGGCAGCAUACCGGCGCGCAACUGACGCUCAUGCACGAAAGCGUGGGUAUCGAACAGGAUUAGUACCCGAGUAGUC